This 495-nucleotide ribosomal RNA is filed under the name uncultured bacterium. Its description in RNAcentral is "bacterial SSU rRNA". It matches the Rfam family "Bacterial small subunit ribosomal RNA", at positions 774 to 1269 of the family's 1533-position model. The record is from RNAcentral.
AGUAAAUAGAUACCCUGGUAGUCCACGCCGUAAACGAUGAGUACUAGGUGUAGGAGGUAUCGACUCCUUCUGUGCCGCAGUUAAACACAAUAAGUACUCCGCCUGGGAAGUACGAUCGCAAGAUUAAAACUCAAAGGAAUUGACGGGGGCCCGCACAAGCAGCGGAGCAUGUGGUUUAAUUCGAAGCAACGCGAAGAACCUUACCUGGACUUGACAUCCCCUGAAUAGUGCAGAGAUGCAUGAAGCCCUUCGGGGCAGGGAGACAGGUGGUGCAUGGUUGUCGUCAGCUCGUGUCGUGAGAUGUUAGGUUAAGUCCUGCAACGAGCGCAACCCUUAUCAUUAGUUGCUACCAUUAAGUUGAGCACUCUAGUGAGACUGCCCGGGUUAACCGGAGGAAGGUGGGGAUGACGUCAAAUCAUCAUGCCCCUUAUGUCCAGGGCUACACACGUGCUACAAUGGUAGGUACAGAGAGAUGCAAGACCGUGAGGUGGAGCU